GGUGUAUCUAUAAUGUUGCGCAACUGCUGUAGAAACCAGACCCAACUCUCCUCACUCUCUACUUCCAACACACCAAAUGCAACUGGGAAUAGCCAGUUGUGUCCAUCAACUGCAGAAGCUUCUGCUAGCUGGCCUCUCCAUCUUCCAUUCAAAGCAGUCGCAUCGACAGCCAAAUAGGGCCUACAACCAUUCAGAAACCCCUUCCAGCAAGCCUUGAAACAAACA
RNAcentral lists this long non-coding RNA (225 nucleotides) under Hordeum vulgare. RNAcentral describes it as "long non-coding RNA (HVUL_LNC006715)". The record is from RNAcentral. Lineage: Eukaryota; Viridiplantae; Streptophyta; Magnoliopsida; Poales; Poaceae.